Molecule: non-coding RNA, 212 nt
Organism: Pelobates cultripes (western spadefoot toad)
Lineage: Eukaryota; Metazoa; Chordata; Amphibia; Anura; Pelobatidae
Source: the annotation of a GenBank genome assembly
CCCACAUAAGGAUGGUAUUCUCAUACAGUAACAUCCCACAUAAGGAUGGUAUUCUUAUACAGUAACUUCCCACAUAAGGAUGGUAUUCUCAUACAGUAACUGCCCACAUAAGGAUGGUAUUCUCAUACAGUAAAACCCACAUAAGGAUGGUAUUCUCAUACAGUAACAUCCCACAUAGGGAUGGUAUUCUCAUACAGUAAAACCCACAUAAG